RNAcentral lists this ribosomal RNA (879 nucleotides) under uncultured organism. RNAcentral's name for it is "SSU rRNA". It matches the Rfam family "Bacterial small subunit ribosomal RNA", at positions 39 to 915 of the family's 1533-position model. The record is from RNAcentral.
GCGGCAUGCCUUACACAUGCAAGUCGAACGGUAACAGGUCUUCGGACGCUGACGAGUGGCGAACGGGUGAGUAAUACAUCGGAACGUGCCCAGUCGUGGGGGAUAACUACUCGAAAGAGUAGCUAAUACCGCAUACGAUCUGAGGAUGAAAGCGGGGGACCUUCGGGCCUCGCGCGAUUGGAGCGGCCGAUGGCAGAUUAGGUAGUUGGUGGGAUAAAAGCUUACCAAGCCGACGAUCUGUAGCUGGUCUGAGAGGACGACCAGCCACACUGGGACUGAGACACGGCCCAGACUCCUACGGGAGGCAGCAGUGGGGAAUUUUGGACAAUGGGCGAAAGCCUGAUCCAGCAAUGCCGCGUGCAGGAUGAAGGCCUUCGGGUUGUAAACUGCUUUUGUACGGAACGAAAAAGCUUCUCCUAAUACGAGAGGCCCAUGACGGUACCGUAAGAAUAAGCACCGGCUAACUACGUGCCAGCAGCCGCGGUAAUACGUAGGGUGCGAGCGUUAAUCGGAAUUACUGGGCGUAAAGCGUGCGCAGGCGGUUAUGUAAGACAGAUGUGAAAUCCCCGGGCUCAACCCGGGAACUGCAUUUGUGACUGCAUGGCUAGAGUACGGUAGAGGGGGAUGGAAUUCCGCGUGUAGCAGUGAAAUGCGUAGAUAUGCGGAGGAACACCGAUGGCGAAGGCAAUCCCCUGGACCUGUACUGACGCUCAUGCACGAAAGCGUGGGGGAGCAAACAGGAUUAGAUACCCUGGUAGUCCACGCCCCUAACGAUGUCAACUGGUUGUUGGGAAUUAGUUUUCUCAGUAACGAAGCUAACGCGUGAAGUUGACCGCCUGGGGAGUGCGGCCGCAAGGUUGAAACUCAAAGGAAUUGACG